Molecule: ribosomal RNA, 447 nt
Filed under: Donkia pulcherrima
Lineage: Eukaryota; Fungi; Basidiomycota; Agaricomycetes; Polyporales; Phanerochaetaceae
Description: partial large subunit ribosomal RNA
Source: RNAcentral
UGUGAUGCGCUCUCAAAGAGUCGAGUUGUUUGGGAAUGCAGCUCAAAAUGGGUGGYAAACUCCAUCUAAAGCUAAAUAUUGGCGAGAGACCGAUAGCGAACAAGUACCGUGAGGGAAAGAUGAAAAGCACUUUGGAAAGAGAGUUAAACAGUACGUGAAAUUGCUGAAAGGGAAACGCUUGAAGUCAGUCGCGUUUGCUAGAACUCAGCCUGGCUUUUGCUUGGUGCAUUUUCUAGUAGACGGGCCAGCAUCACUUUUGUUUGCGGGAUAAAGGUCAGAGGAAUGUGGCACCUUCGGGUGUGUUAUAGCCUCUGGUUGUAUACCGUGGAUGGGAGUGAGGAACUCAGCACGCCUUAUGGCGGGGCUUCGGCCACCUUCGUGCUUAGGAUGCUGGCGUAAUGGCUUUAAACGACCCGUCUUGAAACACGGACCAAGGAGUCUAACAUG